Molecule: ribosomal RNA, 373 nt
Filed under: uncultured bacterium
Lineage: Bacteria
Description: bacterial SSU rRNA
Rfam family: Bacterial small subunit ribosomal RNA
Source: RNAcentral
GAACGCUUGCCGGAUUUCGGUCCGGUGGGAGUGGCGCACGGGUGAGUAGCGCGUGGGAACCUGCCCUGUUGUGGGGGAUAACCGAGGGAAACUUCGGCUAAUACCGCAUGCGCCCCCGGGAGUGGUCUUCGGAUUAGUCCUGGGGGGAAAGAUUUAUCGCAGCAGGAGGGGCCCGCGUCGGAUUAGCUGGUUGGUGGGGUAACGGCCUACCAAGGCUCCGAUCCGUAGCUGGUCUGAGAGGAUGAUCAGCCACACUGGAACUGAGACACGGUCCAGACUCCUACGGGAGGCAGCAGUGGGGAAUCUUGCGCAAUGGACGAAAGUCUGACGCAGCGACGCCGCGUGGGUGAUGAAGGCCCUCGGGUUGUAAAGC